GCACUGAAAUGGCAUAGUAAUGUAGUAUUUUGGCGGCGUGGCUGCUUCGUCGUCGAAGAACCUUCCGAUGCAAUUUUCCGCUGGCAUGUCCCAUUGAAUGUCAUUGCUUUUAUCAUGGCAUCCAACACUUGCAGAUGUGACUCAAAAGGGGGUUCUGAAGCUGAUGAACUUGGAUGGCCUGACAGUCUACCAUACCAACAACCAUCUCCAAGUACACAAACUUGAAAACUUUCUAAGAUUCGUACACACCUUCAGGACAAAGAGGAGAUAAAUUAAGUAUUGGAAAGCUUAAAACCAGCCACCCAGAACCACUCUGCCUGGAGAAAGAAGACAAUAUUUGGCAUGAUUUGCUUCAUCUACUACAGGUGACUCCGUUAGGACACCAGGAACAUGAUUGCAGUCCAGGAUACCAUACUGCAACCUCAAUCCAUCGAAUGUAAUUCAGUGAGAUAUAUAUGUUCUCAUUUACCAGACUUCAGUGUUCAAUUCAAUUCAAUUUGUUAGCUUACUGAUUGCUGCAUACCUACCAUUUC
Molecule: long non-coding RNA, 533 nt
Organism: Triticum dicoccoides
Lineage: Eukaryota; Viridiplantae; Streptophyta; Magnoliopsida; Poales; Poaceae
Exons: 3
Source: RefSeq, a predicted model, not a curated record